This is a long non-coding RNA of Amphiprion ocellaris (clown anemonefish), 1347 nucleotides long. The record is from Ensembl. NCBI's taxonomy places the organism in Eukaryota, Metazoa, Chordata, Actinopteri, Pomacentridae.
GGGUUAUUGAAAUAUUCAUAUUUUUAUGUUAAUUAUGAGACUUUUUGCAUCAUUUCAACAUUUCUGCACAGCAGCAACAAUUCUUAUUUUAAAACAAACAAAUUAAAGAGUCUUCUUCUUGAAAAUGUUUAUAUUCUCUUACAGUUGUGACACGUUAUUUUAGUAUUUUUUUUUCUCUAGCAAAUCAUCACAGUACAAAACAUGUUUCAGAUCCUGCAGUCAUGAAACAGAUUUUGGUGGAAUAAUCACAGAAACACACAGCAGAGGACACAAACACCUGGCUGUCGUCAUAGCAACGCCUCAGCAUCCAUCAUCAGUCCGAGUCCAUCAAGUCCUGCAGGAAUGACAACAAGCAGCUCGCUGGGAUUCCAGUUUCUUCCUCUGAAAUGAAUUCAGGUCACAGAUUCACAUCUGAAACCUGAAGCUGAGCUGAACUCUGAACUCUUCACCACUCACAGCUGUUAUUAGCUCAUUUUAGCUUCUCCACUCAGACAUUUUUUAACCUUCAAGUAACUCCUAAAUUUCAGUCAUUUCUAAUGCCUCAGUCCUUGUAGCUCUUCUAUACAAAACAAACUAAAGGAAGCUGUGCUGUGAGGCAGAUUACAUCGCCGUGGAAACAGCUGAUACUCAAGCAAAUUUAUUAGAAAUGUGGUUGUUUUAUUAGGAAAACAGUUUUAUUUGUAAAGCUGCAGGGUCAGAGUCUGGUUUUGGAUUUUCAAGAAGUUUAAAAGUUUAAAUUGUAUUAUUUCCAGGAAAUUGACAGAUAAUACUGCUGAGAGAUCCCAGCGAGGAGGGGAAGUUUUAUUCUCUGAACAAAUCGAUCAGCUGUUCACUCACAGUGUCAAUAUAAUGUGAAUCAGUGUUUCCUCAAAUGUCUUGUUUUGACCAAAGAUAUUCAGUUUACUGUCAUAGAGGAGGAAAGAAAUCAGAAGAUAUUCACAUUUAAGAAGCUGCAAUCACAGAAUUUACAAUGUCUUUAUAUAUAAAAAAUAGUCUAACUGAUUAUAGUCUGUAGAAAAAGCAGCUGGCAAUUAAUUUUACUGAGUUUCUGACUAAUGAUUGAACAAAAGAAGUGGAGAAGACAUCUCCUUUAGCUUUACAGCACUGUGAUGGACAUUUACAUCAUCUGGUGCUAUUUUAGAGACAAAACAAUGAAUAUAUUCAAAUAAAUAAUCAGCAGAUCAGCAUCACGGGUGAAAAUAGGUGUCAGUUGUUGUGCUAAAAAAGGUAAAAUGUAUAGAUGUAAUAGUAGUGUAAAAAUAUCCAUUUAAUGAAUUGGAGAAUAGUUUAAUUGAUGAUAAGUAAUCGAUUACUUGUUGCAGCCCUACCAGUAAUGAAGAACAACAU